Molecule: ribosomal RNA, 800 nt
Filed under: Methylobacterium sp. NBCS20
Lineage: Bacteria; Pseudomonadati; Pseudomonadota; Alphaproteobacteria; Hyphomicrobiales; Methylobacteriaceae
Description: partial 16S ribosomal RNA
Rfam family: Bacterial small subunit ribosomal RNA
Source: RNAcentral
GGGUACUCUUGAGUUUGAUCCUGGCUCAGCGCGGCUGGGUCUCCCGUCAGACUUUGGAGUGGACCUGGAAACGUGCCCUCCGGUCUGGGAUAAACCUGUCGAAACUAGGGCUAAUACCAGAUACGUGCUUUGGCACAAAGGUUUACUGCCGGAGGAUCCUCCCGCGUCUGAUUAGUUAGUUGGUGGGGUAACGGCCUACCAAGGCGACGAUCAGUAACUGGUCUGAGAGGAUGAUCAGCCACACUGGGACUGAAACACGGCCCAGACUCCUACGGGAGGCAGCAGUGGGGAAUAUUGGACAAUGGGCGCAAGCCUGAUCCAGCCAUGCCGCGUGAGUGAUGACGGCCUUAGGGUUGUAAAGCUCUUUUCUCCGGGACGAUAAUGACGGUACCGGAGGAAUAAGCCCCGGCUAACUUCGUGCCAGCAGCCGCGGUAAUACGAAGGGGGCUAGCGUUGCUCGGGAUGGCUGGGCGUAAAAGGAAGCGUAAGCGGCUUUUUAAGAAAGGUGUGAAAGUCUAUGGGUCAAAAAACGGAAUGGGCCUUCUUUUCUGAAAAACUUGAGCUGGCCCCAGGUGGGGGGGACCCCCGAGUGUAUAGGUGAUUUUUAAAUUUUUUCCCGAGCACCCCCGGGGGGGAAAGUUUUUGAAUGGACCGGGCCCCACGGUGAGGGGCGAAACCCCGGGGAGCAAACAGAUUUAUUGCCGGGGUAAUCCCGGGCUAAACAAUGGUUGGUAGCCGCUGGGGUGGCUGCCACCCAGGAACCCGCCACGAGUACGCUUUCCCCCCGGGGUGUUCGGUCU